AGUGAACGCUGGCGGUAGGCCUAACACAUGCAAGUCGAACGGCAGCACAGUAAGAGCUUGCUCUUACGGGUGGCGAGUGGCGGACGGGUGAGGAAUACAUCGGAAUCUACUUUUUCGUGGGGGAUAACGUAGGGAAACUUACGCUAAUACCGCAUACGACCUACGGGUGAAAGCAGGGGAUCUUCGGACCUUGCGCGAUUGAAUGAGCCGAUGUCGGAUUAGCUAGUUGGCGGGGUAAAGGCCCACCAAGGCGACGAUCCGUAGCUGGUCUGAGAGGAUGAUCAGCCACACUGGAACUGAGACACGGUCCAGACUCCUACGGGAGGCAGCAGUGGGGAAUAUUGGACAAUGGGCGCAAGCCUGAUCCAGCCAUACCGCGUGGGUGAAGAAGGCCUUCGGGUUGUAAAACCCUUUUGUUGGGAAAGAAAAGCGGCAGGUUAAUACCCCGCUGUUCUGACGGUACCCAAAGAAUAAGCACCGGCUAACUUCGUG
This 492-nucleotide ribosomal RNA is filed under the name uncultured bacterium. RNAcentral's name for it is "partial 16S ribosomal RNA". It matches the Rfam family "Bacterial small subunit ribosomal RNA", at positions 29 to 507 of the family's 1533-position model. The record is from RNAcentral.